CCUACGGUGAGCAGCAGUGGGGAAUAUUGCACACUGGGGGAAACCCUGAUGCAGCGAAGCCGCGUGAGUGCGGAAGUAUUUCGGUAUGUAAGGCUCUAUCAGCAGGGAAGAAAAUGACGGUAACUGACUAAGAAGCCCCGGCUAACUACGUGCCAGCAGCCGCGGUAAUACGUAGGGGGCAAGCGUUAUCCGGAUUUGCUGGGUGUAAAGGUAGCGUAGACGGCUAAUCAAGUCAGAAGUGAAAACCCAGGGCUCAACUUUGGGACUUCUUUUGAAACUGCGUAGCUAGAGUGCAGGAGAGGUAAGCGGAAUUCCUAGUGUAGCGGGGAAAUGCGUAGAUAUUAGGAGGAACACCAGUGGCGAAGGCGGCUUACUGGACUGUAACUGACGUUGAGGCUCGAAAGCGUGGGGAGCAAACAGGAUUAGAUACCCUUGUAGUC
Molecule: ribosomal RNA, 440 nt
Filed under: uncultured bacterium
Lineage: Bacteria
Description: partial 16S ribosomal RNA
Rfam family: Bacterial small subunit ribosomal RNA
Source: RNAcentral